AAAUAGAAAGGACAAGAGAUAACAGUAAAUAAAAGACCAAAAAGGGAAUGAGAAACGAAAUAGUCCUUCCUGGUUCAUUUUCUCUUCUUAUCUCUAUAUCUCGUCUCUCUGGAGUUUGAUGGAGGACGAGGAGAUAAGAAAUGAACCAGAGGGAAGGACAGAGG
Molecule: non-coding RNA, 164 nt
Filed under: uncultured Symbiodinium
Lineage: Eukaryota; Dinophyceae; Suessiales; Symbiodiniaceae
Source: RNAcentral